UACAGAGGUGGCAAGCGUUGUUCGGAAUUACUGGGCGUAAAGGGCGCGUAGGCGGUCCCGUAAGUUCCGCGUGAAAUCCCCCGGCUCAACCGGGGAAUGGCGUGGAAAACUGCGGGGCUUGAGUUCGGGAGAGGGAAGCGGAAUUCCGGGUGUAGCGGUGAAAUGCGUAGAUAUCCGGAGGAACACCGGUGGCGAAGGCGGCUUCCUGGACCGACACUGACGCUGAGGCGCGAAAGCUAGGGGAGCAAACGGG
RNAcentral lists this ribosomal RNA (253 nucleotides) under uncultured bacterium. RNAcentral's name for it is "partial 16S ribosomal RNA". It matches the Rfam family "Bacterial small subunit ribosomal RNA", at positions 524 to 776 of the family's 1533-position model. The record is from RNAcentral.